Molecule: non-coding RNA, 123 nt
Organism: Gossypium raimondii (Peruvian cotton)
Lineage: Eukaryota; Viridiplantae; Streptophyta; Magnoliopsida; Malvales; Malvaceae
Source: Rfam
AAUAAGAGCAUGACAAAUAAGAUUUUUACUACUGAUUUUCAACUUUUUUCUCCUGAAAAAAUUCAAAUCCAACUAAAAUUGCUAAAAAUUGAGAGGAAAAAUCCGAUUUGUCAUGCUCUUAUU